GACUCUUUGGUUCUUUCCUGUAUUCUCUGUUUUGCAUUUUAUUUCGAUUUUUAGCAUUUAUAGGCCUCUUAGUUUCCUUGGCUUAGAUAUUUUUUAAUAUUUUAACACCUUUUUAUUUUAUUUAUGUGGUGCUGAGGAUUGAAUCCCGGAUGUCCUACGUGCGAGAGAAGUGCUCUACCACUGAGCCCUAGCCCCUUGAAUUACAUUUUGAGUGAACUGGGUUUAAUCACUUGCAUUAACUUGCCAAAUUCAGACUUUCUCUUAGUAGUUAGCUUCUCUUCCAUGCCCGGUUAUGGAG
This 298-nucleotide long non-coding RNA is filed under the name Marmota monax (woodchuck). Lineage: Eukaryota; Metazoa; Chordata; Mammalia; Rodentia; Sciuridae. The record is from RNAcentral.